Molecule: long non-coding RNA, 2382 nt
Filed under: Lathyrus oleraceus (garden pea)
Lineage: Eukaryota; Viridiplantae; Streptophyta; Magnoliopsida; Fabales; Fabaceae
Description: Pisum sativum (pea) long non-coding RNA (PSAT_LNC030878)
Source: RNAcentral
UUUAGGGGUGUAGGAUGUAAAUUGUUUGGGCUUAGGGCUUUGAUAAGCCCAAUACGAGCCAACCAUGUAAGAGAGGAGGGGAACUUAGAUUUUCACUCCAUCGUUCCUCAUUCUACAUGCGUUUCAUACUUCACCUCGAGCGAGAAAAACUCUGCCGCGUCGGAAAUUGCCUUGGCGGCGGCGAAGGUCCAAUCCCUUCAACCUACACAUCAAGGUACUCUCCUUUAUCCCCUCUUCCACAAUCCAAUAUCCAUUUAUUUUAAUUCCUAAUUUAAAUUCCAAAAAUCGACCUAAGAAACAAAGGAACCCUAAAACCUAAAAACCAAAUUAAAUGAGGAAGAUAAGCUAAUUGGAGCCCAAACCAUGGGGGUUUGGCUCCCACGAAGGAGCAUUACAUCGUGGUAAUGGUGAAUUGAAGAAAGGGAGUAGAAAGGCCUACCUGCCAAAGAAAAUCCAGCGGUUCUUCAAGGUAUUAACACCGAUGAAAAGAAUGUCUAGAGAUUGUCUUCUUCUUCGGGUACGUGAAUAUUCUUCUAUAUUUGAUGCUCAAUUCCUCUUAUUCUUCUUCUCCGCGUGUGGGAGUAUAAGAUGGAGAGAGUGAUGAUAGUUGUGAUGAUGAUGCAUUGAGAUUGAUGAGGGAUUAUGUCUAAUGCUCAAAGAGAGUUCAAAUUCAAUUGAUGAUUGUGCUGUGAUUUUUAGUGAGUGUGAUUGUCAAUGAAUUAUGUGAUGAUUCUGAAUGAUUGUCAAUCAGAUAAUUUAGAGAGAAUUAUCAAAGAAUUAAGAAUUCAGAGAGAGUGUUUUUGGUGAAUGUGAUGGAUAUCCAUGAUUGGAGAGUGAUGAUGAGUUUAUAGAGCUUGAAGGUGCAACCAAUUAGGCAGGCUCGGGCCAGGUUAGUUGGAAGUUAGAGUAAGUUAAAUCAUGUUAAGUUUCUAAGAGCAAAGUGGUUAGGGAUGAAUAACUCUGUUAAUUUUGUCAAGUUUAGUUAUGAAUGUUUGUUAAAUCUAUUGACAUUGUUAGGUUCUGUUAGAGUUUGUUGUUAGCAGUUAGUGAAAUGAAGUUAAGUUAUUAGUUACAGUUAACUUGAUAAAACUGUUAGUGCAUACUUUUAGAAUUUAGUGGUUUUACUUUGUCAAUUCGGAAAGUUGUGAACUGAAUGUUAGGGAGUAUUAAAAGGUUGAAAUGUUAGUGAAGAUAUUAGUUAAAAUGGAAUUUGUUAACUUAGUUAUAAUUAGAGUGUAAGUAACGUAGUUGUCAAUUGAUAUGAAAAUUUGAAGUAGUUAGUGAAUGACAUUUUCUGUUAGGAACAUUGGUUAUGUGAUAGUUAAAUCGAAUUGUUGAAUUAUUAUGUUAGUUAGUCAUAGAUACUGAUGAAAAUUUGAAGAUAAAUGUCAUGAAAAUGAGUGAAUUUGAUUGUUAGUUAAAAAAAUUAGAACUGGUAAAAUAGUUAAUGUGGAAAGAAAAUGAUUAGGUUAAGUGGUCUUGCAAUGUUAGUAGGUUGGAUUGGACUAUCAUGGUUGUUUAAUGCAUUGUAUAAUUAACUUGUUGGUAGGUUAGUUAAUUGAUUAUACAUGUUUUAUAAGAAUUUGAAAUUGUUUUUGUCUAUGAUGAUUGGUUAGAACUGAAGUUGAGUUAAUAUGUUAGUGAAAUCCAAUGGUUAGCUAAAGGCUGUUAUGGAUGGAUUGAGUGAGUGUAUUUGAAUGCCUAUACAUGUGAAUCAUGCUUGAUUGGUCAUGGAAAGUUUUAGAACUUUGAAGACUUAGGAAGUUCAUUUGACAGUAGGAAUUCAAUGUGAAAUAUUGAAGGUUAUACUAGUUGGUAUGCUAUUUGAAUUGGCUUGUUUCUUGGUUUUUUUGCAUGUUUAAAUUACUUCUAAUUUUGAUAUGGAGGUAAUGUUAUAAAUUGGAAAUGGUAUGAAUGUAAUGAAUAUAUGUAUAUGAAUGGUAUGCUGAUGAUGUUUUAUUGAUCUAGCCUUGUUUAUUGCAAGUGUGCACAUAGGAUGGCUUGGUAUGCAAGGCUUGAUCAAAGUUGUUUAGCACAUCAUAACACAUUAAGAUGGAAGUCAAAAUCAAAGGAAGGAGAUUGGAGACUUGGAUGCUCAAUAAUGGGGGGACCUUGUGGAUGUAGAGAAAAUGAGAUUAGGGUCAUAAGAUUAGAUAGUUGACUUUGGUUAACUGGUUGACCAAAGAGUCAUUAGUUAACCAAAGUAAAAUGUAGGUCAAAAAUGAAAUUUUUGUAUAGGAUUGGGCUUUGAAUUUCUUGUAAUGGAAUUGGUGGAUUUUUACUUUGACUUUUGUAAUAUAACUUGCUUUCCCUCCGAAGUUUUGAAUAUUUGAAUAUGUGUUGAUCUUUUGCAAAAUAACCUUGACCCUUGAAUUUGAAUCA